RNAcentral lists this long non-coding RNA (415 nucleotides) under Mytilus galloprovincialis (Mediterranean mussel). The record is from RNAcentral. Lineage: Eukaryota; Metazoa; Mollusca; Bivalvia; Mytilida; Mytilidae.
AAGCGAACACCUUUAAUAUAUAGCACUUCUUCAUACAUUCAUUUUUAAUGUGUUAUAAAAGACAACAACAUUGUUCAAUUGGUUAUAUUUUUAUAUGUUCGUUCUUUGAAUUUGUGCAGAUUAGAUGCAAUCACUCUUGCAUUUAUUGUAAGUAUGAUUACAUGCUAUAAGACAAUCAUCAUGAGCAUCCCUCUUUGUAAUGUGGUAUUCGUUUGGUUCGUCCCUUUUUCCUACAGUGCCACUACCUGGACAGUGGUGAACACACGACGAAAAAUUGUGUUUACACUGAGUACACGUUGUUGCGCUACUGACCAUACUUGCAUUAAGUAUUAAGAAGACUAAUAUCACAAGCAUGGUAUACUUCAUUGUGGAGGUUUCUGUAAGUAGAUAUACAAUAAUACGAAUAAAAACUUUU